Molecule: small nuclear RNA, 107 nt
Filed under: Chinchilla lanigera (long-tailed chinchilla)
Lineage: Eukaryota; Metazoa; Chordata; Mammalia; Rodentia; Chinchillidae
Source: RNAcentral
GUGCUCACUUUGGUAGCACAUAUUCUAAAACUGGAAUGACACAAAGCGGAUUAGCAUGGCCCCUGUGCAAGGAUGACAAGCAAAUUCAUGAAGCAUUCCAUAUUUUU